AGAGUUUGAUCCUGGCUCAGAGCGAACGCUGGCGGCAGGCUUAACACAUGCAAGUCGAGCGGGCGUAGCAAUACGUCAGCGGCAGACGGGUGAGUAACGCGUGGGAACGUACCUUUUGGUUCGGAACAACCCAGGGAAACUUGGACUAAUACCGGAUAAGCCCUUACGGGGAAAGAUUUAUCGCCGAAAGAUCGGCCCGCGUCUGAUUAGCUAGUUGGUGAGGUAACGGCUCACCAAGGCGACGAUCAGUAGCUGGUCUGAGAGGAUGAUCAGCCACAUUGGGACUGAGACACGGCCCAAACUCCUACGGGAGGCAGCAGUGGGGAAUAUUGGACAAUGGGCGCAAGCCUGAUCCAGCCAUGCCGCGUGAGUGAUGAAGGCCCUAGGGUUGUAAAGCUCUUUUGUGCGGGAAGAUAAUGACGGUACCGCAAGAAUAAGCCCCGGCUAACUUCGUGCCAGCAGCCGCGGUAAUACGAAGGGGGCUAGCGUUGCUCGGAAUCACUGGGCGUAAAGGGUGCGUAGGCGGGUCUUUAAGUCAGGGGUGAAAUCCUGGAGCUCAACUCCAGAACUGCCUUUGAUACUGAAGAUCUUGAGUUCGGGAGAGGUGAGUGGAACUGCGAGUGUAGAGGUGAAAUUCGUAGAUAUUCGCAAGAACACCAGUGGCGAAGGCGGCUCACUGGCCCGAUACUGACGCUGAGGCACGAAAGCGUGGGGAGCAAACAGGAUUAGAUACCCUAGUAGUCC
Molecule: ribosomal RNA, 744 nt
Filed under: uncultured bacterium
Lineage: Bacteria
Description: bacterial SSU rRNA
Rfam family: Bacterial small subunit ribosomal RNA
Source: RNAcentral